UGUAGUAUAGCUCAGUGGUUAAGUGCCUGCCUAGCAUGCACAAGGUCCUGGGUUCAAUCCCCAGUACCCCCA
Molecule: transfer RNA, 72 nt
Filed under: Camelus bactrianus (Bactrian camel)
Lineage: Eukaryota; Metazoa; Chordata; Mammalia; Artiodactyla; Camelidae
Also listed under: 2 other names
Rfam family: tRNA
About the family: Transfer RNA (tRNA) molecules are approximately 80 nucleotides in length. Their secondary structure includes four short double-helical elements and three loops (D, anti-codon, and T loops). Further hydrogen bonds mediate the characteristic L-shaped molecular structure. tRNAs have two regions of fundamental functional importance: the anti-codon, which is responsible for specific mRNA codon recognition, and the 3' end, to which the tRNAs corresponding amino acid is attached (by aminoacyl-tRNA synthetases). tRNAs cope with the degeneracy of the genetic code in two manners: having more than one tRNA (with a specific anti-codon) for a particular amino acid; and 'wobble' base-pairing, i.e. permitting non-standard base-pairing at the 3rd anti-codon position.
Source: Rfam by way of RNAcentral